AGAAAUGAGCUGUUAGGCAUAUGGGCAGAGCAAGUCUGAAGACGAAGCUAACAUCUACUGAGCUACAGUCCCACAGUCUCAAACAAUUUACCUAUGCGUGGCUAUACUGGCAAUACAUUCACCGAUUUCACAAUCCGGUGGGCAAGUGAUAGUCAAUGGACUGGACUCAAUGUCAACAUCUACAUGUAAGUAACAGCAAAGAAACUUCCAAAACUGUUUGUCAAACCAAGCAAAUUCUAAUCUGCCAGUCCUGUCGUAAAGCUGCAGGAAGGUGAAGAAAGCAAUUCCCAUUACCAUUCUCACAAGCAAUGCCUAGUGAAAGCUGAUGCUACCUUUAAUGAAGAAAGCUCACUGUGCCAUCUGAAG
Long non-coding RNA from Halichondria panicea, 366 nucleotides. RefSeq lists it as uncharacterized. The transcript has 3 exons. NCBI's taxonomy places the organism in Eukaryota, Metazoa, Porifera, Demospongiae, Suberitida, Halichondriidae. The record is from RefSeq and is a predicted model, not a curated record.